GAUGAAGAACGCAGCGAAAUGCGAUAAGUAAUGUGAAUUGCAGAAUUCAGUGAAUCAUCGAAUCUUUGAACGCACAUUGCGCCCGCCAGUAUUCUGGCGGGCAUGCCUGUUCGAGCGUCAUUACAACCCUCAGGCCCCCGGGCCUGGCGUUGGGGAACGGCGGAGCCCCCCGUGGGCACACGCCGUCCCCCAAAUGCAGUGGCGGUCCCGCCGCAGCUUCCAUCGCGUAGUAGCUAACACCUCGCGACUGGAGAGCGGCGCGGCCACGCCGUAAAACACCCAACUCUUCUGAAGUUGACCUCGAAUCAGGUAGGAAUACCCGCUGAACUUAAGCAUAUCAAUAAGCGGAGGA
Molecule: unclassified non-coding RNA, 352 nt
Filed under: soil metagenome
Description: partial contains 5.8S ribosomal RNA, internal transcribed spacer 2, and large subunit ribosomal RNA
Rfam family: 5.8S ribosomal RNA (bases 1-120)
Source: RNAcentral